UACAGAGGGGGCAAGCGUUGUUCGGAAUUCCUGGGCGUAAAGGGCGCGUAGGCGGCCUUCUAAGUCGAACGUGAAAUCCCUGGGCUCAACCCAGGAACUGCGUCCGAUACUGGAAGGCUUGAAUCCGGGAGAGGGAUGCGGAAUUCCAGGUGUAGCGGUGAAAUGCGUAGAUAUCUGGAGGAACACCGGUGGCGAAGGCGGCAUCCUGGACCGGUAUUGACGCUGAGGCGCGAAAGCCAGGGGAGCAAACGGG
This 253-nucleotide ribosomal RNA is filed under the name uncultured bacterium. Its description in RNAcentral is "partial 16S ribosomal RNA". It matches the Rfam family "Bacterial small subunit ribosomal RNA", at positions 524 to 776 of the family's 1533-position model. The record is from RNAcentral.